RNAcentral lists this long non-coding RNA (10050 nucleotides) under Cucumis sativus (cucumber). RNAcentral's name for it is "long non-coding RNA (CSAT_LNC000826)". The record is from RNAcentral. Lineage: Eukaryota; Viridiplantae; Streptophyta; Magnoliopsida; Cucurbitales; Cucurbitaceae.
CUAUCUCUAAAACUUUAUCUUUUGGUUUCCUUUUGCUGGUGAGUUUGGGCUUAGCUUCGGCGGCCCGAUCUCUUCUUUCUUACGAUAUUCCUCCUCAUCGAUCUGGAUACGAUAAUUAUGAUCAUCCUGUAGUUAACCCUAAAGUAGGAUACGAACAUGACCGUCGUGAUGGAUACUACCAUGACCGUGACCAUCAUGAUGCACCUUAUGGUGGUGGUGCUGGUGGAGGAUAUGGAGCUGGAGCUGGAGCUGGCUCAUCUCUUGGAGGCUCUGGAUAUGGAAGUGGAGGAGGUGGUGGUUCUGGAUAUGGAGGUGUAGGAAACCACGAGGUUGGUUAUGGUAGUGGUGGAGGGGGUGGAUAUGGAGCUGGAGUUGGCUCUGACCUUGGUGGUAGCGGAUACGGAAGCGGUGGUGGUGGAGGCAGUGGAGGAGGAUACGGUGAUUUAGGAGGACGUGGAAAAGGGUACGGUAGCGGUGGAGGUGGAGGAAGUGGAUAUGGAGGUAGAGGAGACCAUGGAGUUGGUUAUGGAAGUGGUGGAGGUGGAGGAUAUGGAAGUGGAGUAGGUGGUGGUGCAGGAGUGGUAGACCAUGGUGUAGGUUAUGGGAGUGGAGGAGGAGGUGGGGCUGGUAGUGGUUAUGGUGGUUCCAAAGGAUAUGGAGGUGGAAGCGGCGGCGGUGGGGGAGCCGGUUAUGGUGGUGGAGCACAUGGAAGUGGAUAUGGAAGUGGUGGUGGAGCUGGAAGUGGUGAAGAAGGAGGAUAUGAUGGUGGAUAUGCACCGUAAACAAAGAAAAGAAAAGAAAAAGCUCAAAGUUUUAUGGCUAAAAUGAGAAUGCUUACCCUAAUAUCAUCAAUGUGUGUGUGUGUUAGCAAAAAAAAAAAAUAAAAGAAUUUGGGUAAGAAAUGUUAUAUUAAUUAUCUUUGAGCUUUUAAGUAAUUUGAAUGUAAUAUAAUAUAUAUAUAAAAAAAGCUAAUCCAUGUGUUCCAAAGUGAACCAACAUGAAGUAUAUUUUCUCCCUUUGUCAUCAUGAUCAUCUUAAACUUGUGGUUAUUAUGUGGGCUCUCAUUAUUAUUCCAAGAUAGCAACGUCGGGAUAUUCAAAUAUUUUUCAUAUGUAAUGUCUUAAGACUAAAUCACUAUGAUCUAUAUGCUUUAAUUAAGUUCAAAACUAUUUUGGAAGCAUUAUGAUUAAUAUAUUGAUUACUUAAAUACUAUUAUAUGGUUUUCAAGGUAACUUGAUGUUGUUAAUAAAAGAAAUCUUUAAUAUUUAAUCAGUCCUUUCUCUUAAAAUUUAGUAAAAAUAAAUACUAAAAUGGUAUGAUGUUUUAUGGUUGGAUUUGGGGUAUGUGUUUUGGCUUGUCCCUCUAGUUGUGACUUGUUCAAAAUAAGUGUACAAUCAAAUUCACUUGGGUUAUUAAAGACAAUUGAUAAACAAAAAUUGCCAAAACGAUAGAGCAUAACUAUUUAAUCGGUAUAAAACUUGUACAAUCCAUUAAUCAUAAUAUACUUUUUCUAAUUGAUCUCUAAUUGAUCGUACAUACUAGUUAGUGUCGAUAAAAAACUCAAUUUGACGUAUAAAUAUUUGUUUGUUGUAAAUGAACAUCUAAGUAUAUUCUUGAUUAAUUAUUCUUAUACUAAGAGUAACAUUGACCCCUCUAUUCUUUAGUAUUUGGUUAAAAGAAUAAAAAAUUAGUAAGUGAUGAAUCUUAGUGUGCUAUAGGUUGAUCAACCAAUUAAAAUUAGUCGUUUCAAGCAAUACUUUCGAAAAAAUUCAUUAAAUAGGAGUUAUUUAAACUAUCAACCCUGAGUUUUUAUACAUUACAAUAAAUUUAAUCUUUGAUGUCGGUCAAAAACUAAUAUAUAGGAGUACAAUAUAGAUCACCAGAUCGAUAUGGAAGACAAUGUUAUGGAAGAUGUUCAAUGUUAAUCACUUUUAUGUUCGUUUUGGUCUUGGCAUUAUAAAUAAUUUAAAUGGUAGUUUUUGCUCACACUACAAAUGUGUUAGACUAUUAGUCAUCAAAUAGUUUGAAUUCCUUGUAAAAAAAAUUAGUUGAAACAAAAAUAAAUAAUUAUCUUUGCAUUAAAAUAAAAUAAAAUAAAUAAAAUAGAUUUUUUUGUGAAUAUUUUGGUCAGGUGUUCUAUUUUUUAUAAUUUCCCAUAAAAAAUAUGUGUAAUAAGUUAUUUAAAAUACUAAUAGUAUUAAUUAGUUUACUUAAUAAAUCAAUUAUAUCUCUAAAUGAUAUUUUGGUAGAUUUAAAAAUAUUUUGAUUCAUUUUGCUAUAUUUGAAAAAGAAACCAUAAAAUUCUACUUCAUAUUCGCAAUAGAUCAUGGUAAACUUAGAUAGGCAUCUAUUAUUUAUAUAUAUGGUGAUAGAUACUUAUGUAUCUAUAUCCAAGCCCAUCAUCUAAAUAUUUUCAAAUGGUUUUCAAUUGAAAACAAAUUUCUCAAUAAGUAAUUAAAAAUUAGGUUUUUAUUCACUAAUAAUUAUUAUUUAAAUGUGAACAAAUAAAGUUUAGCUCGUAUAUAAUGGGUCAGUAGGUACACUCGGAUAUCUCCACUAGAUGGACACCCCUUAGCACCCUCAUUAUCUCCGUUUCAUUAAUAUAAAAAAUCGAAUUGAAUACACGAGAAGUAAAGAGAACAACCCAAACAAAAAACAAAGAACUAGAGACAAGCCCAAAACAAGUACAAACAAUUAGAAAGCAUGAAGAAAUUAGUGCUUUAAACCCCUAAACCGCAAUGUUACUUAACAAAUAAAAUUGUUAUUUAAAAGUUUGAAGUUAUUAUUGAGUUUUAUUUUAGCAAAUUAAUCAUCUCUUAAAUUAAAAAUCUCAAACAUACAUGGAAGAUAAGAUCAAUUAAGCACAUGUUGGAUGAAUUUUGUUCGAAUAAAAAUUAAAACAACUUAUUGUUAUCAACUUAUAAGUUAUAUAUAUGAUGAUGGUGGUGCAGAGGUGAAAACUUAGUUUGAGAUCUCUCCCUACAUCUACUAUGCUUUUACGUUCUAAUGUAUUUUGUGGUAAAAAAAUCAAUUAUAAACUUUUAAGAAAAAUUUUCAUAUGUUAUUAUUUUUUCUCUAAAUUCUAAACUAGCCAGGUUAUCAACAAAACAAAUACCACUAGAGUUUAAGGGAUUAGGAAGCAUAUAUGAAUAUCUCAACUUGGUUAACACGUCGUUUUUAAACAUUUCUCAUCAGGUUGCUGUUUCAAAAGUGAUGCACUGAUGUGAAGAAACAUAUAGGAGAAAAGUGAGAUGGAAAGUUAGUAUAUUGGACAGAGUACAUAGUACAUAGUAGGUUUAUUAAUUAAUUUAUCCAAAUGAUAAUCUCAUUACCAAGCACUAUGUGAUUUAGAUAUGAAUAAAAUGUGAUCAUUUUUCCACCACUAUUACAUAGCAAAUGGGAAAACAUCUCAUUGUGGUUUGAUAUUUUAAAAAACAAUUAUGGUAAUGCAAGUCGUCUCAUAUCCCAUAAUAUUAUCUCAGUCUCAUGGCGACUGAUACAAAAGGACAAAACUAACUUCAUUAAAAUAUGUUCUCUCCUUCCUACACUUUUUAGGUAUAUAUCAUUCAUAUAUUAAUCACUGCAAUUGGUUAGGUGGACUACAAAAACAUAGAUAUAGUCCGAGAUAAAAUUAAGUACGGUUAUAUUUUACGAGACUUUUGAUGUGUUUGAUUACAUUUUCAUGUGUUUCUUUUAGAAAAUAAGUUAUUUUGAAAAAACUAAAGUAUUUUAAACAAUUUUUAGAACAAUCAAUUUCUUGAAAAAUAUUUUUUUCUUAAUUCAAUCUAAGAUGGAUCCUCAAAAUAUUUGAGGGUAGUUCUUUUAUAAAAGUAUUUACACUAGGUUGGUUUAUGAAGUAAAAUAUUGAUCGGUAAAUUCAAGUUUUAAAUUAGAAAAAUUGAAUAUUUUUAAAAAUAGAAGAAUUGGCUAACUAUUUACAACUCAUACCAAAAUUUUAAUACAAAUCCAAAGUAUCUAUUUUUUAUUUUAUUAUUAUUAUUAUUUUUUGCUAUAGGAUGUAAAUACUAUCUGUUUUCUUGUAAAUUUCUCUUACAAUCCUCUACGAGAAAGUCUUAAUUUUUAUAUUUAUGAUUUAUAUUAUAAUAUAAUUAUUUGGAACCAUAUAAUAAAUAAAAGGAAAAUUGUAAAACAUAACAUUUGACAAAAUAUCUUCGUAGAAAAAUUUGUUGUGUAAUCAAUUUUGAGGUUUUGUUAUAUGGAGCGUAAAUAUUUUGUCAAAUUUUCUAUUUGUGAAAAAAAAAACUUAUAGGUAAUUUGAAAGGUAAGUGAUCUUGUUUAAGAUCCAAAUUUCUUUUAUGAAAGUUUAAUUUAGAAUACAUACGAGAAAAAUAGAUUAAUCUAGAAUGAUAAAUGUAAGAUAGGUUUGGGAAGUACCAAUAAAUUUUAGGCAUGUGAUAGACUAUAACUGUGAAGAUAUAUAGUCUAUUGCUAUCUUGAAUGGCUCAUUCUUGUUUGAAAAUGACCUUAUUUAAAACACAACUUUUUUAUAAAAGAAAAUCCCUUGCAUCAUUCAAACAAUCUUACAAGAUCGUAUUAGUGGAAGAUGAGAUAGAAUUCUGACAUGUGUAUUAUUAGUAUACUUGAAUAGUUUCUUAUCUAACUUUUGAGCAAGUAGUGGAGAAGCUGAUCAUGAACCCUAAACCCACCGUAUCAUUCACUAUAUAAAGGAGAUCACUACAUGCAUUCUAAGGCAUCCCUUCUCCAAAUGGCUAUCUUUAGAACUUUCUCUUUCGGUUUUCUUUUGUUGGUGAGUUUAGGCUUAGCUUCUGCGACCAGAAGUCUUCUCACCUAUGAUCCACCACAUCACUCUGUAUAUGAUGAUCAUAACACUAAAGUAGGUUACGGACGUGACCAUCAUGAUCAACCUUAUGGUGGUGGUGUUGGUGCUAGUGGAGGAUAUGGAGCCGGAGCUGGCUCUGGAUAUGGAGGUGUAGGAUACGAACAUGACCAUCAUGAUGGAUACGAACGUGAUCAUGAUCGAUCUUAUGGUGGUAGUGCUGGUGGAGGAUAUGGAGUUGGAGCUGGCUCCUCUCUUGGAGGCUCUGGAUAUGGAAACGUAGAUCAUGGGGUUGGUUAUAGCAAUGGUGGAAGUGGUGGAUAUGGAGCUGGUGUUGGCUCUGACCUUGGUGGUAGCGGAUAUGGAAGCGGUAAUGGCGGAGCAAGUGGAAGUGGAAAUGGUGAUUUAGGAGGACGUGGAAAAGGCUACGGUCGCGGUGGUGUUGGAGGAAAUGGAUAUGGAGGUAGAGGAGACCAUGGCCGAGUAGUAGGCCAUGAUGAUGUAGUUUAUGGUGGUUCCAAAGGAUAUGGAGGUGGAAGUGGCGUCGGUGGGGGAGCUGGUUAUAGCGGUGGAGCAAGUGGAAGUGGAUAUGGAAGUGGUGGUGGAGCUGGAAGUGGAAGUGGCUAUGGCGGAAGUGGUGAAGAAGGAGGAUAUGAUGGUGGAUAUGCACCUUAAAUAAAAGGGGCUAAAACAUCAUCUAAAAGCUUAUCGUUAAAACGAUAAUACUUACCUAAAUAUCAAUGUUUGUUAGCAAAAAUAAAGAAUUUAGGUAAGAAUGUUAUGUUCCUCUUUUGAAUUUUAGUAACUUCAAUGAAUGUGAUAUUAUAAAAACUAGCUGUUUCAUGGGGUUCUAAAGACCAACAAACAUGCAUGAAAUACUGAGUUAAUACAACGUACGCCAUUCCAAACGUGCUAUUUUAUGGAUUCCAAAGUUGACUUUGAACUAAGGACUAAAUAAUCCUUUAACACCUUCUAAACACAAAUUAUUUCACAGACGUCAAGAUCAGUUAAUCAAGUUAAAACUUAAUAGGUCAAAUUCAUCAUUCCAAAAUGACUUGUAGAAAAAUUUUGAGACUUAGUUCGAGUAUGUUAAAUUCUAAUGUUACGAAGUUUUCUUAACAAAAUUGAGAAGGAGGUUGGGAUGGUGGAUAUGCACUCAAAAAUUUCAUCUCAAAAGAGAAUUGAGAAACAUACUUUUCAAGUAACAAACCCAAUAUUCAUAUUAAUUGGGCAACAAAAGUAAGGAAAUAGGGGUAAAAAGAGAACAUUGUUUUCUAAAUAAUCUAUGUCGAGGUUUGCUUCUUGGCCAUGAAAUUCGAACCAAUUAUUCAAUGAUAAGCAAAUUUGGAUUAAGUAUGCAUGUGUAAUGUGACAAAAUUAUUCAACCACAUUCACGUUAUUUUGCUUUCCUAAUCAUAUUUAUGAAAUAAGAUGGUUUCAUCUUUCAAAAUCAAUACACAAUUACAAAAGUAGUAAUACUUCUAUCUUAUAAACAAUGUUGAUCUCUUGAAUUUUCCAUGUAUGGAAUUAUCAACAUUCUCCGCAUAUUGUUCUAGGUUAUUUUUUUAACCAGUGUAAUCAACCUCAAACAAAAACAAAAGUGACAAAACCAAGAAAAUAACAAAAUUUUCACUUAAAUAAAAGAGGGAAAAAAAAUAGCACAUCCUAUAAGCCAAAAUAAGGGCGAGGGGUUUAGGGUUUAGGGUUAUUAGACCAAGACUACCAAAAUGUCUAAUGACUUUUAUAACGAAACAUCUAGUUUAGAUUGAUACAUAUGAUAUGUAGCAUCUUCACAGCAUCCAAGAUCAAGAGUCGAUAUAUUAUCAUGAAAAGAAAGUACAAAAGGGAAGUUAGGGAAAAACUUGGAGUCAACGUUAAGAGAACCAUUAAAAGUUUUAGAAGUUCAAUUAAUAUUUGUAAAAUUUUAAGAGCUAAAUUUUUAUAAUCCAACGUUUGAGGUCUAGUAAUUGCAAUUGACCAUCAUACUUCAGGGAUAAUUUUUGAAAAUUUCCUUUUCUAUUAUUAAAUUAUCAAGAAAAAAAAGUUUAAUGACGGUCAAAAUAAUCCCUGGCGUCCAUAUAAUAAUUUUCAAUAACAUUUCACGACACUAAAAAAAAUUGGAACUUUGCUCACAUUUUUCUAAGAAACGUAAAUAUUUUGUCAACUUUACUAUAUAUAUAUUAUUGUUACUCUUUUAAAAACUUAAGUAAUUUUGAUUCGACCAAUUUUUUUUGCUAUCAACUACAAUUGUUAAAAAAUAUAUAUAUACGAAAAAAAAUGGUUAAUUUUCAUUCACAAAAUAUUUAAAAAAGUAAAAUUUUAAAUUUGUCUCGUAUCUUUUGGAAUAAGGUUUGUCUUUAAUUAAGGAAAUUUAAAAGUUGCUAAAACAUAGCUAAAUUAAACAAAAGUUACUUUUUUAAAGAAAAUUUUUUAAAUAACAAAAUUAUUAAAAAUAUAAUUAAAUUAGAAUUUUUGAAUCUAUUAUUGAUAUAAUUAAGAAAAGUCUAUCAACAUAUAUCAAUUCUAAUAUUUUAUUAUAUUUUAAUUCAUUUGGUUAUAUUUAACAACUCAUUCCCACACAAACUAUAAUUCAAAUUAAAAACAUAUUUGAACAAAUAUUUUGUAUAAUUUAAGUGAUGAAUCGCACUAAUAUUGUUAAAAUGUGUUUAAAAUGUGAUACUUUUCCCACCAUAUUUUAUAGCAAAUGGCAGAUAAUUUAAUGUUUCUUUGAAGCAAGAAUUAGGCAAAGAAGCAUAUAUAUAUAUAUAUAUAUAUAUAUAUAUAUAUAUAUAAUAUAUAUAUAAUAUGUAAUUAAAUUUUAUAUUAUAGUUAUGCAAAAUCGUUUCAUAAGCCACUUCAUCUCUCUCUAUUUCAUGGCAUCAAGUAAACAAAAAGGGAAAAAGGGAAAAAGAGACCUAAUAAAAUAUGUGUUCUUUAAUUGGUGGAUUUUUAAUUAGCAUUAUUAAUUAAUCAAUCAUGUAAAUAUCCUACAAAGAAUAUUUGUUCUUAAGAUAAUUCAUUGCAUGAUGAAUCAAAAUUUUAGGUUGGGUGUUCCUGUAUACUUAAAAACAUUAUUGCAUUACCAAAUUAAAUUUAUACAAACCAAACGAUAUCAUUUUGUUCGUAUUAAGUUCGUUUAAGUUUAGAUGGUAUAUGAAAGUUGGUUUGUUAUGUUUAGGUUUAUUAAACAACAUUGUAUUUAGACGAUAGUGUAAACUUUAAGUUGUUAAACAUGUGUUUUAUCUUAGUCUAAUGUCGUCUAAUACAAAUAUAUUAUGAUACUUUUUAAUAUUUAAAAAUAUUUUUAGAAGUUUUAUAAAUUAAAAUAAUUUUUCUAAAAAUUAAGUUUCAUCAUUUUUAAGAGGAGAAAAGACACCCUAAACAUAAAUUAAAGAAAAUAGAAUGAUAUUGUAUUAAUUACAUAAAUUUAAUCAAAAAUUAAGAACUAAAAAUAAAAUUGUUAUCAAAAUGAAAAUUCAUUUUAACAUUCAAACCAUCCAAAAAAAAGAACAUCUAAUUACUCUAUUGUAACAGAAGUUUUAUCCUCUUAAGAAAAAAAUAGUUUAAUGUUAAAAGAGUAUACAAAACGUGUUAAUAAGUACACAACUCAAUUAGCAUAAAGCUUAAAUUUUAUUUAGAUCAAGACUCAAAUCUAUGAGAUCACAGGAUAUUGCAAAUUUAGGAUUUUAGGUUAUCGUUUAAAGUUCUAAAAUAUUGCAAAAUGGUGCAAGUGGGAAGAUGGGAUCCAAAUCAAGUAUGGAUAUGAUUUAGUUCCAAUUAUAAUUUAAGGUUAUAGUUUAAUGAUUUAGUUACAACACUUUAGUGUUUUGCCUCUUGAACUUCCCUUAAGCUAUAAUCCAUAAUUAAUAAUGUUUUUGAGCACGUGCCUUCUCUUUAAUUGCCACUAAGGUACCACACUAUAGAGAAGAGCUAAUGAAUCCUUGUUUUCUAUAUAAGGAGAUGGAUCAAUGCAUUCUAAGCAUAUACUCCUAUCCAUGGCUAUUUCUAGAGUGUUGUGCAUUGGCUUUCUUCUUUUUGUGGGGUUAGGGUUAGCUUCGGCUGCCCGAACUCUUCUUGAUUAUGAUCCACGUGCACGUCGUUAUGAUUACGAUCGUCCUACUCCAAGAGUAGGAUACGAUCCAAGCCAUCGUGAUCAAUCCUAUGAUAAUGUAUAUGGUGGAAGCUCUAGCAGAGGAUAUGGAGCUGGAGACUCUGCUCUUGGAGGUUCGGGACGAUAUGAAGGUGGUGGAGGACGUGAUUACGGACAUGGAGGCCGAAAUGAUGAUCGUGGUGUUGGAUAUGGAGGUCGAAAUGAUGAUCGUGGUGCUGAAUAUGGAGGUAGAAAUGAUGAUCAUGGUGCUGGAUAUGGAAGUCGAAAUGAUGAUCGUGGUGUUGGAUAUGGAAGUCGAAAUGAUGAUCGUGGUGUUGGAUAUGGAAGUCGAAAUGAUGAUCGUAGUGUUGGAUAUGGAGGCCGAAAUGAUGAUCGUGGAGUUGGAUAUGGUAAUGGUGGUGGAUAUGGAGGUGUAGGAGGACAUGGUGAUGGUUAUGGUAACAAUGGUGGUGGAAGCUAUGGAGAUCGUUAUGGCCCUUCUCUUGGAGGUUCAGGAUAUGGAAGUGGAGGAAAAGGAAGUGGCAAUGGCUAUGACGAUCAUUCUCGUGGAAAUGGUGCGCGUGACAAUAGCUAUGGAGAUUCUCAUGGACAUGAAGGACGUGACAGUGGAUAUGGAAGUGGUGGAGGAGUUAGUGGAGGCUAUGGCAAUGGAGGAGUUCAUGGAGGGGAGCAUGAUAAUAGCAAAGGAAGUGGAGAAGAAGGGGGUAGGGACGGUGGAUAUGCUUUCAAAAAUUCCAUCUCAAAGGAGAAUUGAGAACUCUUUUUCAAGUAAUGAACCCAAUAUCAUAUUAUGUUAACAAAAAAAAUAAAGAAUUGGGUAUAAGAGAAUGUUGUUUUCUAAAUUUAUGUUGAAUUUGUUACCAACGAAUGUCAAAUUCGAAUCAAUGGGUACAAUGAUAAUCAAAUUUAGGUUAUGUUUAUUGUGAUAAAUUUAUUGCACUCUUAUUUGUUUUGUUUCUCUAUAUAUAUUUUUUCUAUAUAUCCAUAUUAAUAUGGGUGGUUUUGGACCGAAGAAAAAAACAUCAUCUAAAAGUUUUUCGUUAAAAUCAUAUAAUUCUUACCUAAUAUCAAUGUUUGUUAGCAAAAAGUAAAAGAAUUUAGGUAAGAAUGUUAUGUUUCUCUUUGAAUUUUAGUAACUUUU